UACGAGGGGGGCAAGCGUUGUUCGGAAUUAUUGGGCGUAAAGGGCGCGUAGGCGGUCUGACAAGUCUGAUGUGAAAUCUCUGGGCUCAACCCAGAGUCUGCAUUAGAAACUGUCGGGCUUGAGUAUGGGAGAGGUGAGUGGAAUUUCCGGUGUAGCGGUGAAAUGCGUAGAUAUCGGAAGGAACACCUGUGGCGAAAGCGGCAUCCUGGACCAUAACUGACACUGAUAAGCGAAAGCCAGGGGAGCAAACGGG
RNAcentral lists this ribosomal RNA (253 nucleotides) under uncultured prokaryote. RNAcentral's name for it is "partial 16S ribosomal RNA". It matches the Rfam family "Bacterial small subunit ribosomal RNA", at positions 524 to 776 of the family's 1533-position model. The record is from RNAcentral.